AUUGAACGCUAGCGGCAUGCUUUACACAUGCAAGUCGAACGGCAGCGGGGAGUAGCUUGCUACUCUGCCGGCGAGUGGCGAACGGGUGAGUAAUGCAUCGGGACGUGCCCAGUAGUGGGGGAUAACUUAGCGAAAGCUAGGCUAAUACCGCAUACGCACUGAGGUGGAAAGCGGGGGAUCGCAAGACCUCGCGCUAUUGGAGCGACCGAUGUCCGAUUAGCUAGUUGGUGGGGUAAAGGCCUACCAAGGCGACGAUCUGUAGCGGGUCUGAGAGGAUGAGCCGCCACACGGGGACUGAGACACGGCCCAGACUCCUACGGGAGGUAGCAGUGGGGAAUAUUGGACAAUGGGGGGAACCCUGAUCCAGCCAUGCCGCGUGUGUGAAGAAGGCCUUAUGGUUGUAAAGCACUUUAAGCGAGGAGGAGGCUCUUUUGGUUAAUACCCAAGAUGAGUGGACGUUACUCGCAGAAUAAGCACCGGCUAACUCUGUGCCAGCAGCCGCCGUAA
This 507-nucleotide ribosomal RNA is filed under the name uncultured bacterium. RNAcentral's name for it is "partial 16S ribosomal RNA". It matches the Rfam family "Bacterial small subunit ribosomal RNA", at positions 30 to 523 of the family's 1533-position model. The record is from RNAcentral.